Molecule: ribosomal RNA, 514 nt
Filed under: uncultured bacterium
Lineage: Bacteria
Description: bacterial SSU rRNA
Rfam family: Bacterial small subunit ribosomal RNA
Source: RNAcentral
AACGCUGGCGGCGUGCCUAAUACAUGCAAGUCGAACGGUCUUUCUAUGGAAGCUUGCUUCCACUGAGAAGAUAGUGGCGAACGGGUGAGUAACACGUGGGUAACCUGCCCAUAAGAGGGGGAUAACAUCCGGAAACGGGUGCUAAUACCGCAUAGUUUUCUUGAUCGCAUGAUUGAGAAAGGAAAGACGGCCUUUGUGCUGUCGCUUAUGGAUGGACCCGCGGCGUAUUAGUUAGUUGGUGAGGUAACGGCUCACCAAGACGAUGAUACGUAGCCGACCUGAGAGGGUGAUCGGCCACAUUGGGACUGAGACACGGCCCAAACUCCUACGGGAGGCAGCAGUAGGGAAUCUUCCGCAAUGGACGAAAGUCUGACGGAGCAACGCCGCGUGAGUGAAGAAAAGGUUUUCGGAUCGUAAAACUCUGUUGUCAGAGAAGAACAAGUCGGAGAGUAACUGCUCCGGCCUUGACGGUAUCUGACCAGAAAGCCACGGCUAACUACGUGCCAGCAGCGGC